AACGAACGCUGGCGGCAUGCCUAACACAUGCAAGUCGAACGAGACCUUCGGGUCUAGUGGCGCACGGGUGCGUAACGCGUGGGAACCUGCCCUUAGGUUCGGAAUAACUCCCCGAAAGGGGUGCUAAUACCGGAUAAUGUCGUCGGACCAAAGAUUUAUCGCCUUUGGAUGGGCCCGCGUUGGAUUAGCUAGUUGGUAGGGUAAAAGCCUACCAAGGCGACGAUCCAUAGCUGGUCUGAGAGGAUGAUCAGCCACACUGGGACUGAGACACGGCCCAGACUCCUACGGGAGGCAGCAGUGGGGAAUAUUGGACAAUGGGCGAAAGCCUGAUCCAGCAAUGCCGCGUGAGUGAUGAAGGCCUUAGGGUUGUAAAGCUCUUUUACCCGGGAUGAUAAUGACAGUACCGGGAUAAUAAGCUCCGGCUAACUCCGUG
Molecule: ribosomal RNA, 433 nt
Filed under: uncultured bacterium
Lineage: Bacteria
Description: partial 16S ribosomal RNA
Rfam family: Bacterial small subunit ribosomal RNA
Source: RNAcentral